Molecule: long non-coding RNA, 791 nt
Organism: Prunus dulcis (almond)
Lineage: Eukaryota; Viridiplantae; Streptophyta; Magnoliopsida; Rosales; Rosaceae
Exons: 4
Source: RefSeq, a predicted model, not a curated record
UUGCCCAGAAAUUUGAAAAAAUUUCGUCACCAAAGGUUUUUAGCGACGGAUGUUCAACAGAUUUUUCGUCACUCUUCAGACCAAAUGUCAUCAUGAUCAGAGACAUGUAGGAGUUAUUUCGGGUCCGUUGACAUUCCAAGAAGCAAGUUGUGGGUGUUUGAAAUCGUCUUGUUGUCUAUCCUCUCUCACUUCGACAUAUUCUAUGCUUUGCUCAUCCAUACACCUACACAAACCCGGAAAGUUCUCACACCCUCUCUCUCUCUUUAAUUGAUUUGGCAUGACCUAACUAUACUGCAAAAGUAGUUCUUCCAGCUGAGAUGCUAAUUGAAUGAGCUGACAGAGACACAGAAGACUGAUUUAAGCUCCAUUUCUAAUGCUGUUAGUCAAGGAUGCUUUUACAAGCAGAGCUUGUACUUGAAGAUGUCGGUCAAGAUCGUGCACGCAAAACUGUACUUUUAUCAGGUUCUUAUUUACUCGAUAUGCACACUUUCUUCAUUGCAAAAGAGUUAACAUGGGCUGUUAAGUGUGCAUGGACUUCUAUUGACCUAUGCGCAAAUGCUUUGCUACUAUUGAUGCCGGGAUGGGGCUGAAUCACUAGGGUGUCAAGACCAUGAGGGGAUUGUAAAUGCACUCAGGCGAGGUCGAUUGGAGUUGGAAGUUAAAGAUGAUAUAAUUUAGACUACUGUAUUUGACUAAUCCUCAGAGUCUGCUCCCGAUUUCGUUAUGUUUGACUCUAUGUACAGAUGGCUAAAUUGUUUAUGUAAAAUUCUCUCCGGUGUUGAUAUUUGUUC